GGGGAGUGGACGUAGGUGCAAGGUUAGCACCAAACCACUAUAAAUCCUUGUGUUUGUGGUGUGCUUUAUCGCUUUAUCUUAUUUAUAUCCUUGCAAUACUGCUUUAGUUAAUAUUGAUUUAAAGCCAUUAUUUUGUUCUUCAUAAGUUAUCUGUUGGGCUUAAAAUUUUUUGAAACCCAAUUCACCCCCCCUCUUGGGUUGCAUAGCUGGGCAACAGAUCUUUUGGGAAAGAGUUUCUAAAGAGGUCAAACUAGAUAUAUCCUUUGAAGGUCUGUCACUCUUCUUGGUCUUUAGACUUUUUAGGUACAGUGGAUAAUUCCUCUUCCAAUGAUCGUUAGUAUUAUAGUGAAAAUAUUUUUCUUUAUCUAAAGCCUUCUUCAGAGUGUCAUUCUUCAGCCUAUUCUUAUUCUUCUGCUUCUUCACAAGUUUAUUCUAUUUUUCUUAAGUAAACUUUCUUUUGGAGGAAGAUGCCUACUCAACAGUAAGAAUAGAGUCCUUUGAACUUUUCAAGGUUCUCUCUGUUGUAACUAACAUGUUGAGUAAUUUAGAUAGAGUGUAGUCUAACUUGUUCAUAUGGUAGUUUAUAAUAAACUAACUAUAUAAACUAAUAAGAGACUACAAGAUCAAAUCCACCUGUAAUUCCUUUAGUAUAGUCAUGCUGAGCUUCUCAAAUUCCUCCAGAUCCUUAAUCAUUAUCAGAUUGUAGACUGACUGUCCUUCAUGUAUUUUGGAGUUGAAGAGUCUCUUUAGACACUUUAAAAUGUAU
Molecule: long non-coding RNA, 766 nt
Filed under: Elaeis guineensis (African oil palm)
Lineage: Eukaryota; Viridiplantae; Streptophyta; Magnoliopsida; Arecales; Arecaceae
Description: long non-coding RNA (EGUI_LNC071101)
Source: RNAcentral